AUGGUGAACAAGCUUCUACCUACCAUCAAGGCUUUGUGGCCGGCUUCGGAACGCGGACGCAUAAUAUACAUUCAGCAAGAUAAUGCAAAGAACCAUAUUGCUGUGAAUGACAAUGUGUUUUGUGCAGCAGCACAGGCGGAUGGAUGGGAUAUUAGCCUUACAUGUCAGCCGCCGAACUCACCUGAUUUGAACAUUCUUGACUUAGGGUUCUUUGCUGCACUUCAGGCUCUUUUUGAGAAGAUGUCCCCUGGUAAAAUUGUUGAUAUUGUUGCAAAGGUGAAAAAAGCAUAUGACACGUACCCGGCUGAGAGAAGCAACCGUAUUUUUCUUACCCUUCAGUCAUGCAUGUGCGAGGUACAGAAGCAGAAAGGAGGUAACUGGUACAAGGUUCCGCACAUGAGGAAGUCAUUUCUGGCGGCACUCGAAAUGCUUCCGAACGUAGUACCCUGCGAUGCUGAUGUUCUAAUUGCUGCUAUUGAAGCCCUUCCAGAUGCUUGA
Molecule: ribosomal RNA, 498 nt
Filed under: Triticum aestivum (bread wheat)
Lineage: Eukaryota; Viridiplantae; Streptophyta; Magnoliopsida; Poales; Poaceae
Description: partial small subunit ribosomal RNA
Source: RNAcentral